Molecule: ribosomal RNA, 261 nt
Filed under: Flavobacteriaceae bacterium BC2_NA1D4
Lineage: Bacteria; Pseudomonadati; Bacteroidota; Flavobacteriia; Flavobacteriales; Flavobacteriaceae
Description: partial 16S ribosomal RNA
Rfam family: Bacterial small subunit ribosomal RNA
Source: RNAcentral
CAGCUCGUGCCGUGAGGUGUUAGGUUAAGUCCUGCAACGAGCGCAACCCCUGUCACUAGUUGCCAUCAUUCAGUUGGGGACUCUAGUGAGACUGCCUACGCAAGUAGAGAGGAAGGUGGGGAUGACGUCAAAUCAUCACGGCCCUUACGCCUUGGGCCACACACGUAAUACAAUGGCCGGUACAGAGGGCAGCUACCUAGCGAUAGGAUGCGAAUCUCGAAAGCCGGUCUCAGUUCGGAUUGGAGUCUGCAACUCGACUCU